Molecule: ribosomal RNA, 327 nt
Filed under: Paenibacillus glacialis
Lineage: Bacteria; Bacillati; Bacillota; Bacilli; Caryophanales; Paenibacillaceae
Description: bacterial SSU rRNA
Rfam family: Bacterial small subunit ribosomal RNA
Source: RNAcentral
UGGAGAGUUUGAUCCUGGCUCAGGACGAACGCUGGCGGCAUGCCUAAUACAUGCAAGUCGAGCGGAGUUGUUUUGGAAGCUUGCUUCCAAAACAACUUAGCGGCGGACGGGUGAGUAACACGUAGGUAACCUGCCUAUAAGACUGGGAUAACUACCGGAAACGGUAGCUAAUACCGGAUAAUUUAUUUCUUCUCAUGAAGAGACACUGAAAGGCGGAGUAAUCUGCCACUUAUAGAUGGGCCUGCGGCGCAUUAGCUAGUUGGUGAGGUAACGGCUCACCAAGGCGACGAUGCGUAGCCGACGCGAUCUGGUUGACGGCCACACUGG